Molecule: small nucleolar RNA, 213 nt
Filed under: Amborella trichopoda
Lineage: Eukaryota; Viridiplantae; Streptophyta; Magnoliopsida; Amborellales; Amborellaceae
Description: snoRNA Plant_U3
Rfam family: Plant small nucleolar RNA U3
About the family: Small nucleolar RNAs (snoRNAs) are involved in the processing and modification of rRNA in the nucleolus. There are two main classes of snoRNAs: the box C/D class, and the box H/ACA class.
Source: Rfam by way of RNAcentral
ACGACCUUACUUGAACAGGAUCUGUUCUAUAGGUUGUACAUCCGUUUCCAUUGACACGAUGGAGACACGCACAUAAAUCUGGAAGAUGAUAGAAUGCUACUUGGUCAGGGUGUGAAUACUGGCUUUGGACUCCAUGGAGAUCCAUGAACCUUAGAGGAUCGCUCUCAUCUAGUCAUUGGCUGAUGAGAUGGCCAUGGGGCAGUCUGACAGACC